AAAGUCGGGAGCUAAGGCGAGGCCGAAAGGCGUAGUCGAUGCACAUACGGUAGAUAUUCCGUAACCGCCGAAGGAUUAAAGCAAAGGGACACCUGCGAAGCGUGUAACCCGGGCGAUGGUUGCCCCGGGCGUAAGGGACCGAAAUUUAGUAGGGAAGUACAUGUAGAGCAGGGCGAGAAAAGCUUUGUGUAUAUCCAAGGCGCCCGUACCGCAAACCGACACAGGUAGAUAGGAAGAGAAUUCUAAGGCCAACGGGAGAAGGGUAGUUAAGGAACUCGGCAAAUUGGUCCCGUAACUUAGGGAAAAGGGACGCUCCAGAGAUGGAGCCGCAGUGAAUAGGCCCAGGCGACUGUUUAGCAAAAACACAGGUCUCUGCCAAAUCGAAAGAUGAAGUAUAGGGGCUGACACCUGCCCGGUGCUGGAAGGUUAAGAGGAGAUGUGCAGGCAUUGAAUUGAAGCCCCAGUAAACGGCGGCCGUAACGAUAACGGUCCUAAGGUAGCGAAAUUCCUUGUCGGGUAAGUACCGACCCGCACGAAUGGUGUAACGAUCUGGGCACUGUCUCAACUACCCGCCCGGCGAAAUUGUAGUACCGGUGAAGAUGCCGGUUACCCGCGACAAGACGGAAAGACCCCAUGGAGCUUUACUGUAGCUUGAUAUUGGGUUUCGGUAAUUUAUGUACAGGAUAGGCGGGAGACUAGGAAGCCAGUACGCCAGUAUUGGUGGAGUCGUCCUUGGGAUACCGCUCUUAAGUUGCUGGAAUUCUAACCUGCGGCCGUGAAUCCGGCCGGGGGACAUUGUCAGGUGGGCAGUUAGACUGGGGCGGUCGCCUCCAAAAGAGUCACGGAGGCGCUCAAAGGUUCGCUCAGCACGGACGGAAACCGUGCUUUUGAGUGUAAACGCAGAAGCGAGCCUGACUGCGAGGGUGACGGCCCGAGCAGAAACGAAAGUUGGAGUUAGUGAUCCGGCGGUAUGUGAAUGGAAAUGCCGUCGCUCAACGGAUAAAAGCUACCCUGGGGAUAACAGGCUGAUCUCCCCCAAGAGUCCACAUCGACGGGGAGGUUUGGCACCUCGAUGUCGGCUCAUCACAUCCUGGGGCUGUAUUCGGUCCCAAGGGUUCGGCUGUUCGCCGAUUAAAGUGGUACGCGAGCUGGGUUCAGAACGUCGUGAGACAGUUCGGUCCCUAUCUGUCGUGGGCGCAGGAUAUUUGAGGAGCUCUGUCCUUAGUACGAGAGGACCGGGAUGGACGCACCGCUGGUGCACCAGUUGUCACGCCAGUGGCACAGCUGGGCAGCAAGUGCGGAUCGGAUAAACGCUGAAAGCAUCUAAGCGUGAAGCCGGCUCCAAGAUAAGAUAUCCCAUUCCGUAAGGAAGUAAGACCCCUUGAAGACUACAAGGUUGAUAGGCUGCGUGUGUAAGCGCCGCGAGGCGAUCAGCUUGGCAGUACUAAUAGGUCGAGGGCUUGAUC
This 1466-nucleotide ribosomal RNA is filed under the name metagenome. RNAcentral describes it as "bacterial LSU rRNA". It matches the Rfam family "Bacterial large subunit ribosomal RNA", at positions 1379 to 2925 of the family's 2925-position model. The record is from RNAcentral.